This 415-nucleotide ribosomal RNA is filed under the name uncultured bacterium. RNAcentral describes it as "bacterial SSU rRNA". It matches the Rfam family "Bacterial small subunit ribosomal RNA", at positions 355 to 769 of the family's 1533-position model. The record is from RNAcentral.
UAAGGAAUAUUGCUCAAUGGGAGAAAUCCUGAAGCAGCAACGCCGCGUGGAGGAUGAAGGGUCUAUGACUUGUAAACUCCUGUAAAGAAGGAAAAAAUUCCCAUUUGAUGGGAGAUGAUGGUACUUCUGGAGUAAGCCCCGGCUAGCUACGUGCCAGCAGCCGCGGUAAUACGUAGGGGGCAAGCGUUGUCCGGAUUUACUUGGUGUAAAGGGUGCUCAGGCGGAUUUGUAAGUCAGAGGUGAAAUCUUACAGCUUAACUGUGAAACUGCCUUUGAUACUGCAAGCCUAGAGUAUGGAAGAGAGUGAUGGAAUAUCUGGUGUAGCAGUGAAAUGCGUAGAUAUCAGAGAGAACACCGAUGGCGAAGGCAGUCACUUGGUCCAUUACUGACGCUAAAGCACGAAAGCGUGGGUAGC